CAGAAAGCCUGGCGCCGCGCGCCUCCCUCCCCUCCGUGGCUCCAGCCAUGGCGUUGGUUACAGCCCAGCUGGGCUCACGUGGGCAGGAGAUGCGUCCGGGAAGGACGCAGUGUAGAGGACUCAGUUCAGCACCCCUCGCGGCCUCCCUAACUUGGCGAGAGGCCCAGCCGGGCGCGAGCGCGCGGUCCAGUUAGCACGAGCUAGCGGUCGCGCUCCGGCGCCGCUCGGCUCAUCGGACCAGAACCUGAUUUCUAGUUAAUUACAAACUACGGCCAAGAUGCUCCUGUGACCCACUCAGACCUACGCCGCAUCCCUAAGAAACAGGCCAGUGGCCAAAACCCCCAGCGACGGAUUGCAGCCCUGAUUGCCUAAGAACACCAGGGAGGGCCCAAUUCUUCAGGCUAAAGGCGCCCCCCCGCCCUGCAAUUGCAUCUCUGCCCCUCAGCCCCCAGGUCCUUCUCCCCUGCCCCCAGCUGUGCCUCUCCAGAGGGGAGAGGGAGACCCACCCUCACAGUCUGCGGCUUCAAGGCCAAGGGCAGGCUACAGAAACUUUCUUCGAGCAAACGAUGCGCAGCGCCCAAUAUAUGAAACCCUCACAGCUGAGCUGCUCUCCACCCCAGCGUGCCUAGUCUGUGCAGAACCAAGCAGAAAACCACCCAUCCGUCUAGAACUUCACUGGGCAACAGAGGCUGCAUCUCCACCUGUGGUCCCCGGCACUCCCCAGGGCCGGGCGCUAACUGCCUGCAAGAACGCUGGCCCAGCCGGCUCAGAGACGUGCCAGAGGGGAGGCAGGCCACAGACACGGGGACCCAGAGCCUGCACAGCAGCCAGCUUUGCCACCACCCCAGCCUCUGUGCAGUGCAGUUUCCUGAGCUGGCCAGGCCAUACUGCCCACAGGAAGGCCAUGGCUGGACUGGCCUGCAGACACAGGGAGAACAGAAGGAGCAGGUGCCCGUGUGCCGUGCACCCAGCUGCGGGAUCCACCUCCGACCUCAGCCAGCCCCAGGGCACGAUGGUUAUGGUCUGUAGUCACUGCUAACACUGAAUUAGUGAGUAUAGAGCCAUCCAUCACUCCUGGGGAAACAGGGUCAGGUCCUGCCAGCCUCUGGGCACGACACUUCCAUCAGCCCAUCAAGACUGCCUCAUUCAGUGCUUCUGUUCAGACACCUUAGUCAGUACAGAUGCAUCCACAUCCAAUUCACAGCCAGCAGCCUCCAACUCACGCUGAGGGAGGCUCGCCCGACACAGGUGUUUUCCCAUGAGGCCCAGCCUGGACUUCCUGGGCUCGAGAACGCUGGCCGGCAUUGCAGCACCAGGCCUGGGGCCAUUUUAAACAGCGAAAUCUCCAACAGAAAGCACCAAAGUGCAGAAAAUAUGGUACUAAAUAGACCAGGAGGACACGUUUAUAGUGUGAGAUGAAACAAGAAGGCAGAGUGUCCCCUCGUUCCCCUCAGCUGGGGACUCAAAGUUUGUGCUGCUCUGCUCGUGUUGGCAAAUCACUGUACAAGCAAGGAGUGACUUCAGGGUUACAAACACAUUUUCAAGAGAAGGCUAGUUUCCAAAUAAAGAAUCUGCACAUGAUGAG
RNAcentral lists this long non-coding RNA (1585 nucleotides) under Equus caballus (horse). RNAcentral describes it as "lncRNA (ENSECAG00000052100.1)". Lineage: Eukaryota; Metazoa; Chordata; Mammalia; Perissodactyla; Equidae. The record is from RNAcentral.